GACCGACUGGCCUAGUGGUUACGGCGCUCGUCUUACAUUAGUGAUCACGAGAGAUCGCAGGUUCGAUCCCUGCGUCGGUCA
RNAcentral lists this transfer RNA (81 nucleotides) under Aspergillus bertholletiae. It matches the Rfam family "tRNA". From Rfam's summary of the family: Transfer RNA (tRNA) molecules are approximately 80 nucleotides in length. Their secondary structure includes four short double-helical elements and three loops (D, anti-codon, and T loops). Further hydrogen bonds mediate the characteristic L-shaped molecular structure. tRNAs have two regions of fundamental functional importance: the anti-codon, which is responsible for specific mRNA codon recognition, and the 3' end, to which the tRNAs corresponding amino acid is attached (by aminoacyl-tRNA synthetases). tRNAs cope with the degeneracy of the genetic code in two manners: having more than one tRNA (with a specific anti-codon) for a particular amino acid; and 'wobble' base-pairing, i.e. permitting non-standard base-pairing at the 3rd anti-codon position. The record is from Rfam by way of RNAcentral. Lineage: Eukaryota; Fungi; Ascomycota; Eurotiomycetes; Eurotiales; Aspergillaceae.